Molecule: unclassified non-coding RNA, 377 nt
Filed under: uncultured Acidimicrobiia bacterium
Lineage: Bacteria; Bacillati; Actinomycetota; Acidimicrobiia
Description: contains 16S-23S intergenic spacer region
Source: RNAcentral
UCCGAGUUGACCCCGGCAGUCUCAUAUGAGUUCCCACCAUGACGUGCUGGCAACAUACGACGAGGGUUGCGCUCGUUGCGGGACUUAACCCAACAUCUCACGACACGAGCUGACGACAACCAUGCACCACCUGUGUAGGGCCCAAAAGGACACCGCAUCUCUACGGCUUUUCCCUACAUGUCAAACCCAGGUAAGGUUCUUCGCGUUGCCUCGAAUUAAGCAACAUGCUCCGCUGCUUGUGCGGGCCCCCGUCAAUUCCUUUGAGUUUUAGCCUUGCGGCCGUACUCCCCAGGCGGGGUACUUAAUGCGUUAGCUUCGGCACGGAAUCCGUUGAUAAGACCCCACACCUAGUGUUCAUCGUUUACGGCGUGGACUAC